AUUCUUCCGCAUUGGACGCAAGUCUGACGGAGCAUCGCCGCGUCAUUGAUGAAGGUAUGCGGUUCGUAAAACUCUGUUGUUAGGGAAGAAUAAGUAUCGCCGUCAAUGCCGGUACCCUGACGGUACCUGACGAGAACCGUACGGCUAACUACGUGCCAGCAUCGGCGGUAAUACGUAGGUGGCAAUCGUUGUCCGGAUUUAUUGGGCGUAAAGCGCGCGCAGGCGGUCUUUUAAGUCUGAUGUGAAAUCUUACAGCUUAACUGUAAGCGGUCAUUGGUAACUGGGAGACUUGAGUGCAGAAGAGGAGAGUGGAAUUCCAUGUGUAGCGGUGAAAUGCGUAGAGGUAUGGAGGAACACCAGUGGCGAAGGCGGCUCUCUGGUCUGCAACUGACGCUGAGGCGCGAAAGCGUGGGGAUCAAACA
Molecule: ribosomal RNA, 422 nt
Filed under: uncultured bacterium
Lineage: Bacteria
Description: partial 16S ribosomal RNA
Rfam family: Bacterial small subunit ribosomal RNA
Source: RNAcentral